GGUUGGAACCACUUGAGUCAGGAGAUGAUGGCGCCGCUGCUCCUGUCGUCGGUGCUCAGAGGUAACAGCUUCAUCCUAUUUUCAGCAGCGAUUCUUCUCCUCGCAGACGUUUGUCUGGGUGUGGAAAUCACACAGACACCUUCAGAGGUUCUGAAAAAACCCGGCGAUGAGGUCCAGCUGGUCUGUAGCCACGGGAAGACCGACUACACCUACAUGCAGUGGUACCAGAAACCCCCCGGAGAUCCGGCUCUCAAACGGAUCGGACACUUGAAUUACGGCACCCCGGAGUUAGAGACGGCCUUCAAAAACCGCUUCAGGAUCUCCGGGGAUCUGAGCGGCGAGAAGGCCAAGAACGCCUCCGUGUUCAUCCAGAGGCUGCAGGUGGAGGACUCUGGCGUGUUCUACUGUGCAGCCAGCUAUGCACGCCAACAGCAAACCCACAGGCCUUCAUACAAAAACUCAAGCCCCGCCCACGUGUGAUACCAGCAGCUUUAUCAGUAACUCUCACUUCCUCUGCAGAGUGAAGCUCAGACAUGAAGCAUGUUCAUGAGACGUUUCUGUAGUAAGAAUUGAUCCAGACUACGACUAUGAUCUGGUUUCUGAUCAAUUCUCUAAAUCCAGGAAGUAGUCUGCUCCUUCAGGUCCACUGACGUCAUCAAAAACCUAAAAGACUCGGUUCUGGUUUGC
Oryzias melastigma (Indian medaka) is the source of this 687-nucleotide non-coding RNA. The record is from the annotation of a RefSeq genome assembly. Lineage: Eukaryota; Metazoa; Chordata; Actinopteri; Beloniformes; Adrianichthyidae.